AAUCUCUUACGCCAUAAAGAAGCAGAAUUCUCUUUGGUUAAUUUUCUCUUUAUACCUCUUGUACCAACAUGUAAAGAUUCAUUAUAAGAAGCAAUUGUAUCAAACAAAUAAAGAUUAUCAUGCACUGAUAAAGAACCAGAACCAACCAGAUUUGAAUUAAGAAAAAGACUAAAUUUUUUAUUUCUAAUAAACAUGAAUAACUAAAUUUGUCAAAUACAGAAACAGAAAUCUCAUUACAUU
Molecule: long non-coding RNA, 240 nt
Filed under: Carica papaya (papaya)
Lineage: Eukaryota; Viridiplantae; Streptophyta; Magnoliopsida; Brassicales; Caricaceae
Description: long non-coding RNA (CPAP_LNC001404)
Source: RNAcentral